AGAGUUUGAUCCUGGCUCAGGAUGAACGCUAGCGGCAGGCUUAACACAUGCAAGUCGAGGGGCAGCGCGGGGUAGCAAUACCCUGGCGGCGACCGGCGGAAGGGUGCGUAACACGUGAGCGACUUGCCCGUCACAGGGAGAUAACCGGCGGAAACGGCGACUAAUAUCCCAUAUGAUCCGAAGCUACAUGGCGUCGGGUUGAAAGAUUCAUCGGUGACGGAUAGGCUCGCGGGACAUUAGCUGGACGGCGGGGCAACGGCCCACCGUGGCGACGAUGUCUAGGGGUUCUGAGAGGAAGAUCCCCCACACUGGAACUGAGACACGGUCCAGACUCCUACGGGAGGCAGCAGUGAGGAAUAUUGGUCAAUGGGCGGAAGCCUGAACCAGCCAUGCCGCGUGAAGGAAUAAGGCCCUAUGGGUCGUAAACUUCUUUAGACGCAGAGCAAUAAGGUCCACGAGUGGAUCGAUGAGAGUAUGCGUAGAAUAAGCAUCGGCUAACUCCGUGCCAGCAGCCGCGGUAAUACGGGGGAUGCGAGCGUUAUCCGGAUUUAUUGGGUUUAAAGGGUGCGUAGGCGGCAAGGUAAGUCAGCGGUGAAAGACCAGGGCUCAACUCUGGAAGUGCCGUUGAUACUGUCUGGCUAGAAUGAUUCCGCCGUGGGAGGAAUGAGUAGUGUAGCGGUGAAAUGCAUAGAUAUUACUCAGAACACCGAUUGCGAAGGCAUCUCACGAGGGGUUCAUUGACGCUGAGGCACGAAAGCGUGGGGAUCGAACAGGAUUAGAUACCCUGGUAGUCCACGCAGUAAACGAUGAUGGCUAACUGUCGGGCCUAUUGGGUUCGGCGGCCAAGCGAAAGCGAUAAGCC
This 862-nucleotide ribosomal RNA is filed under the name human gut metagenome. RNAcentral's name for it is "bacterial SSU rRNA". It matches the Rfam family "Bacterial small subunit ribosomal RNA", at positions 8 to 866 of the family's 1533-position model. The record is from RNAcentral.